Molecule: ribosomal RNA, 407 nt
Filed under: uncultured bacterium
Lineage: Bacteria
Description: partial 16S ribosomal RNA
Rfam family: Bacterial small subunit ribosomal RNA
Source: RNAcentral
GACGAACGCUGGCGGCGUGCCUAAUACAUGCAAGUAGGACGCAGUUGCGAACGGGUGAGUAACGCGUAGGUAACUACCUAUUAGAGGGGGAUAACUAUUGGAAACGAUAGCUAAUACCGCAUACUAGUAGAUGGACCUGCGUUGUAUUAGAUAGUAGGUAGGGUAAUGGCCUACCUAGGCAAAGAGACAUAGCCGAACUGAGAGGGUGGUCGGCCAACCUGGGACUGAGGAAAGGCCCAGACUCCGACGGGAGGCAGCAGUAGGGAAUCUUCGGCAAUGGGGGGAACCCUGACCGAGCAACGCCGCGGGAGUGAAGAAGGUUUUCGGAUGGUAAAGCUCUGUUGUUAAGGAAGCGGUACUUAACCAGAAAGGGACGGCUAACUACGUGCCAGCAGCCGCGGGAAUUC